UGUCAGCUGUCUAGCGCGUAUUUUUAAAAACAAGAAUCCAUCGCUUUACACUAUCCACUGAGUUUUGACGUAGGGGGUUUAUACAUAAAAAUACUUAUUUCUGAAGCACGUUAAAUAAUUCGUCAACAUCUUUGCUUUAUUUUCGGGUUGGAUUCUGAAAAAAAUGUGACGCAGUUAGCUUUGUUUGUAUCGUUAGCUUGUAGCCGCCGAAACUCCAGUAUUCGGUGUCCUCUGAUUAAGGAAAAUGUAUAUUAUUUGUAGCAUGUUUUUGUAAGAUGAGACACAUAUGUAAUAGUUUAUUGUUGGUUUUGAUAAGUUAAUUCUAAUAUUUUGAGUUUUUUUCUACCGAGAAAACACUGCUAGCUAACAAGCUAACGUCCACUAAUGGAGGACAGCCAGUCUUCUUCUUCGCUAGUUCUUCCUCCACCACAAGCGUCUUUUCUUCAGAGGACGUUGGAGCGAUUAUCGUCCACACAGUGCCUGAGAUUCGGAUGUGACCAGGGGGAAGCUGUCGCUGUCGUGGCAUUGCAGAGAUACCUGUCAGAGCGAGCGGAUGGACCCGAUGAACUGCUUCACAACUACAGUUACGACGUGACCCUGACAGACGGGGUCUGGCGGGUCAAAUGCUUUCUUCACGCCAGCUUAAGCAACCUGGUGCACACCAACACACUGCGGACAGGGAUGGACAUCUUCAUCUCCCAGUGCUGCUUUGUCUUUAGUGAAAGGAUGUUGGGACACGGUUACAUUUGCAUCGAAAAGCUCCGGUGUGGCGCAGGAAGCUCAGCGGUUCUCCCCAACAUAAACGACGUCAGCUUGUUGCCCAUGCUGGUCAGGCAUGGCAUGGAGAGGAGCGUGCUGCUCCACAAAGAUGUUCCUCUCCAGGUAAGCCGGAAACAUUAUCUCCCACUGUGGAACAAUGAUGACCCGGAAGGGGACAUGUGGAUCUCAGGAGCCUCCUCAUCAGAUGCUGUGCUGGAUGUUUCCAAAAUGAUGCUCAUUAGCACUUUGGAGUCUUCAUUCGGACACACCCUGAAUUAUCUCCCUCUUCUGGUGAAGAUCAUACACAAAUCCAGACUCCGGUAUUAUGGAAAGUUUGGAGUCAAGAAAGAUUGCCCCUACCUGGCGUACUUCGAAGUAGCUGACCAGAGCGGCACCAUGUCGCUUGUGCUUUGGGACGAACUCUGUCCGGAGUUUUACGAGCGACUGAACGUUGGCACGGUGCUGUACCUCCAAAACUACAAACUGAAGCAAAGUUAUGCGAAACGAUCGCGACCACAGAUGGAUCACUACAGAAUGAAACACUGUAACUCUGUAGAAAUCAGCCUGAAUCCUCGUGAUCCAUCUUCAAUCUUCACUGUGGUCUCACCAAAGAGUGUCCAGCCUCAGUGGGGUCUGCCUGAUGUCUCUUACCGGUUCACCAGCAGGUCAGAGUUGGACAAGCUAGCGGAUAAUUUUGCCUGUGACAUCAUUGGUUUGGUAACAUUUGUUGGCCGUGUCGAAAGAGUCAGAAGUAAAGCUUUAGAAAGGUACUGGACAUACCGCUGGGUUCAUGCAGUGGACGGAACAUCUGAUCACCCGUUUAUCCUGGAGCUUUUUUCUUCAUCUCAACCUGAAAUCUUCAACAACAUUUGUCCCAUGACGUACCUGGUCUGCACCCAGAUGAGGGUCUGCAAUGUGACGGGCUCUCAGCCCUACCUGACGAGCAGCUGUGAGACGGAGAUGUUCAUCACAGGAUACCACAAAGGUCAACCAUACGUGAGCGACCCCAGAGUGAAAAACUUCAUCCAAUGGACCAAAACUCUAAAGGACAACGCCGUUCUACAAAAGACGGCUGUUGGAGGCCAUUAUUCAUACCCUCAUUCUCCACCAAUGUUCGUGCAGUCAGCAGCAGGUCAAGUUCCUCUCAUUGCUGCAGCUGACCUGAAGAGGGAGCUAGAGACCUUGCAGUAUAGAGAACAUAAAAGACAUGCCUUUCAGGGACAAAUUACAGCAGUUCAAUAUUUAAGAAGCCCAAAGACAUCAGGAGUGGAAGAAACAGAGCAGGUUUCAGAAAAUGAUGAUGCUGAUUCACACAGUUCUCCCUCACAGAGAUUACCAUCUCCAUCAUCUGCUGGGACUUCAGCUACUUCAAGGAAAAGGAAAAUUCAAAUGAGCAGGCUUGGAUGCAAAAAGACAAAUGAAAAAGAGCAGGAGGAGGAAGAGGCGAACUCUGCAUCAGAAGUUCAACUCCAGGAACACAGCUGUGGUCAUAAUCCGGGUCAAGCAGUGUCCAGUGCUCUGUCCUGGGAAGGCAGCAGCUGGCCAAAGCAACACCAGGAACUGACUGAGCAUUUGUGUCAAGGCGGCCUGCACCAGGACAGCAUCCGUCGCAGGUUCACAUUCGAUGAGAAGAAUGUUCUCCUGCAGUGGAGCAACCUGCAGCCGUCACGGUGGACGUCCAAACAAAGCACAGAGCCUGUCCCACCUGCGCUUUGUUCCGGGUAUUACCAGCUAACCAUCCUGGGCAUCAACAAGCAGAUUGCCGUCGAUGCUGCUUUUCUCCCGGUGGUUUCCUCCAAUGACCCACAGGCCGUCAGCCUUCCUCAGGGUUUACACGACAACACCAUGCUGUCUUGCCUCUCCUCGGGUUUCCUUUGCCCUCUCACGGGCACAGACGAUAGCGAAGAAAGAUCUCUACCUGAGCCAGAGGAGAUCUUGGAGACCGCCACUGAGCUGGAGGAUAUGCAUGUGGUGUGCAUCUUGGACCUUUGUCAUUUAGGUGAAGAUAAAUUGGAAGUCCUAAUCAACAAGGUGUACAAAGUGACAGAGGUUUCACUUGAUUAAAGACAAUCCAACGACAAAACAUACAACCCAAGACUCUGGUGGCUCGCCCUCUCUCCUCUCAAGAAAAGCGCGACAGAAACACAGGAUUAAGACAGAGUAAGAGCAGAGAGGCCGCUCAGCGGGACACUCACUGUCAAGGAAGUCGGCGGCAACGGGGUCAGUCAUCAGCAUGUGGGAUGAUAGCAGCUUAUACACCUCCCCGUGUUCCCUCUCCGGGAGGAAAUUCAAGAUAUUUUGGUCCACCAUAUCUGACUGAAGCAACAAAGCAAAUGAAUGAGGGUACAAGACGUAGGAACAGCAAGGUCGCCGAGUUGACCGUGAACUGCUGCAACACUAGAGUAUUGGAGAUUGAAAUGUAAGGCCAUCUGUCCAAAAGCUGAAACUGCGCUGAAAGUGGGUCAUGCAGCAGGACAAUCCAGCAAACGGCAGCAGAAUGACAGAGAAAGGAAACAAUCAAGGUGUUGCAAUGACCCAGUCAAAGUCCAGACUUCAACCCCUGGGAAACGCGGAGCUGGGACAAAAAACUCAACUGGGCCUUCACACCAAGACCCUCAAGCAUCAAUGAACUGAACCAAGAGUGCCAAAAGUAAAAUAAAAUAACUAAUUGUUUUUUUCUAAAACUGGAUCUGUUGAAUCCUAACUUUUGCUCAACUUGUCACACGCUGUUUUGGAAUUAAUUUUGUUGAAUAAAGUAUUUGUGGUGGACAAAAACCAUCUGUAACACA
This is an RNA transcript of Oryzias melastigma (Indian medaka), 3548 nucleotides long. It is a transcript of the gene named RPA1 related single stranded DNA binding protein, with no coding region annotated. The transcript is spliced from 17 exons. NCBI's taxonomy places the organism in Eukaryota, Metazoa, Chordata, Actinopteri, Beloniformes, Adrianichthyidae. The record is from RefSeq and is a predicted model, not a curated record.